Molecule: long non-coding RNA, 313 nt
Filed under: Populus trichocarpa (black cottonwood)
Lineage: Eukaryota; Viridiplantae; Streptophyta; Magnoliopsida; Malpighiales; Salicaceae
Description: long non-coding RNA (PTRI_LNC002370)
Source: RNAcentral
AAUUGAGCAUGGAGUGGAACCAAGAUCCCAUCUGGUCCCUAAAUAGUCCUUGGAUUCAAAAUUUUGCCCAUUAUGCAGACAUUUUGAAUUUCUAAUAACCCUGAUUAUUAAGCUCAGAAUUUUUGUUUUGUAUAUAACUGUCGUCUCACCUAGCUCAGCUAGUAACUGUCGUCUCACCUAGCUCAGCUAGUAACGUUGUUUAAGCUGAGCUGUUAAGAUAGAGGCAAUAACCUGGGAGUUAAAUGUCUUGGAAGAACUUAGAUUAUCCUUGUCGAUGAACAACUUAAUUAAGAGCCCUGGAGAAUCAAUACUC